CCUUAGCCCAGAUAGAAGCGGUAUCCUUUUAUGCCGGGGUUCGGCAUAAAAGAUAUAGCGGAUAGCUGGAAAUAGC
Molecule: small RNA, 76 nt
Filed under: Flavobacterium sp. 103
Lineage: Bacteria; Pseudomonadati; Bacteroidota; Flavobacteriia; Flavobacteriales; Flavobacteriaceae
Description: Flavo-1 RNA
Rfam family: Flavo-1 RNA
Source: RNAcentral